AGCGGGAUGGAGCAGUCCGGUAGCUCGUCAGGCUCAUAACCUGAAGGUCGUAGGUUCAAAUCCUACUCCCGCAACCA
Molecule: transfer RNA, 77 nt
Filed under: Amylibacter sp.
Lineage: Bacteria; Pseudomonadati; Pseudomonadota; Alphaproteobacteria; Rhodobacterales; Paracoccaceae
Also listed under: 2 other names
Description: tRNA-Met
Rfam family: tRNA
About the family: Transfer RNA (tRNA) molecules are approximately 80 nucleotides in length. Their secondary structure includes four short double-helical elements and three loops (D, anti-codon, and T loops).
Source: RNAcentral